AAAAAAUUAAAAAGAAACAAAAAUAAGUGCUAGGAGUCUGGUAGGUUGCGCAGCAUAGAGAAUAAGAGAAGAAAGAGACAAAAGAAAAAAAAAAUUAAGAAGAAAAAAAAAAUUGCUGGAAGUCUCGUAGGUUGUGCAGCAUAGAGAAUAAGAGAAGAAAGAGACAAAAGAAAAAAAAAAUUAAGAAGAAAAAAAAAAUUGCUGGAAGUCUCGUAGGUUGU
RNAcentral lists this unclassified non-coding RNA (221 nucleotides) under Hevea brasiliensis (rubber tree). The record is from RNAcentral. Lineage: Eukaryota; Viridiplantae; Streptophyta; Magnoliopsida; Malpighiales; Euphorbiaceae.